AGAGUUUGAUCCUGGCUCAGAGCGAACGCUGGCGGCAGGCCUAACACAUGCAAGUCGAGCGGCCGUAGCAAUACGGCAGCGGCAGACGGGAGAGUAACACGUGGGAACGCGCCCUUCGGUUCGGGAUAACUCAGGGAAACUUGGGCUAAUACCGGAUACGCCCUUACGGGGAAAGAUUUAUUGCCGAAGGAACGGCCCGCGUCCGAUUAGCUUGUUGGUGAGGUAAAGGCUCACCAAGGCGACGAUCGGUAGCUGGUCUGAGAGGAUGACCAGCCUCACUGGGACUGAGACACGGCCCAGACUCCUACGGGAGGCAGCAGUGGGGAAUAUUGGACAAUGGGCGCAAGCCUGAUCCAGCCAUGCCGCGUGGGUGAUGAAGGCCCUAGGGUUGUAAAGCCCUUCAGCGGGGAAGAUAAUGACGUACCCGCAGAAGAGUCCG
Molecule: ribosomal RNA, 439 nt
Filed under: uncultured soil bacterium
Lineage: Bacteria
Description: bacterial SSU rRNA
Rfam family: Bacterial small subunit ribosomal RNA
Source: RNAcentral